Molecule: ribosomal RNA, 206 nt
Filed under: uncultured bacterium
Lineage: Bacteria
Description: partial 16S ribosomal RNA
Rfam family: Bacterial small subunit ribosomal RNA
Source: RNAcentral
UACGUAGGGCGCAAGCGUUGUCCGGAAUUAUUGGGCGUAAAGAGCUCGUAGGCGGUUUGUCGCGUCUGCUGUGAAAACCUAAGGCUCAACCUUGGGCUUGCAGUGGGUACGGGCAGACUAGAGUGCGGUAGGGGUGACUGGAAUUCCUGGUGUAGCGGUGGAAUGCGCAGAUAGUCAGGAGGAACACCGGUGGCGAAGGCGGGUCU